GAUGAACGCUGGCGGCGUGCCUAAUACAUGCAAGUCGAGCGAACAGACGAGGAGCUUGCUCCUCUGACGUUAGCGGCGGACGGGUGAGUAACACGUGGAUAACCUACCUAUAAGACUGGGAUAACUUCGGGAAACCGGAGCUAAUACCGGAUAACAUGUUGAACCGCAUGGUUCAACAGUGAAAGACGGUCUUGCUGUCACUUAUAGAUGGAUCCGCGCCGCAUUAGCUAGUUGGUAAGGUAACGGCUUACCAAGGCAACGAUGCGUAGCCGACCUGAGAGGGUGAUCGGCCACACUGGAACUGAGACACGGUCCAGACUCCUACGGGAGGCAGCAGUAGGGAAUCUUCCGCAAUGGGCGAAAGCCUGACGGAGCAACGCCGCGUGAGUGAAGAAGGUCUUCGGAUCGUAAAACUCUGUUAUUAGGGAAGAACAAAUGUGUAAGUAACUAUGCACGUCUUGACGGUAACUAAUCAGAAAGCCACGGCUAACUACGUG
Molecule: ribosomal RNA, 497 nt
Filed under: uncultured bacterium
Lineage: Bacteria
Description: partial 16S ribosomal RNA
Rfam family: Bacterial small subunit ribosomal RNA
Source: RNAcentral